UUUUGAUUUAUAUUCAAUUUAGUUUGUAUUAUUUUUACUUAUGAACAAUAGCUUUUGUACGCACAUCCAAAUUGGGUGUCCAAUAAGAAUCUUGCAUUGUAAAUUGUCAUACAUCAUAUAACGGCAAGGGUAUCUCGAAUUCGACACAACGAAGCAAACCGUUUCUUCUUGUUAGGCAACAAGAAAACAAGUCCGGAUGAGCCUGUGACUCGCUACGCCUACAAAAUGGUUAAGAUCGAUUGGUGAGGAGUUACGAAGGCUUAAAAGUGUGUGGAGGAUUAUGGGGGCGGGGUACCAGCGGAACGAAACCAGAAAAUUUCUCCUAAGGAAAUUCGCGGAUGUCCUCUGACAAAAACUUUACAAUACAUUUUUAAGUUAAACUAAGCGGAUAAA
Long non-coding RNA from Drosophila virilis, 393 nucleotides. RefSeq lists it as uncharacterized. NCBI's taxonomy places the organism in Eukaryota, Metazoa, Arthropoda, Insecta, Diptera, Drosophilidae. The record is from RefSeq and is a predicted model, not a curated record.